Molecule: long non-coding RNA, 2088 nt
Organism: Chrysemys picta bellii (western painted turtle)
Lineage: Eukaryota; Metazoa; Chordata; Testudines; Emydidae
Source: RefSeq, a predicted model, not a curated record
AAUGAGAGUCCCAAAUUGACUCUUGAACCUAGCUUCCGCACACAGCAACAGAAUACGCUGCUGUCCUGCCUCCAGGCCAGCUGCAGCAUCUUUACGAUUUCAUAACUGUACAAGUCAGCUCGCUAGAACAAAGACUAGCCACAAACCAAACUCUGACACGUUUGCAUGCAAAAGGGAAGAGCUUCAUGCAGCAGCAAAUUAACAAACAUGAAUUUGUUUGCAAAGGGACUAAAUCCUGCUCCAUAUCAGUCAAAGGCAAAACUCCCAUUCAGUGGAAAAAGCAUCACAGAAACAAGGAAACAGAUACUUUCAUUUAAUUUGAACACAAGGCACAAGAGAGCAAGUGGCCACAUGAGCCUAAUUCCUUUCAUGUUGCUUCACGUUUUUCUCUCUCCCCUAUUGCUGCAGGAUACAUGAACAACAGGGGAAAACUACUUAUAGUUAAAUCAACUGCACAUGAAACAUGUCAAAUUCACAUCAAACAAAAAAAACCUGGAGAUAAUAUUGUUUUCAUGAAUCACUCCAAAUUCCAGUAAUCUUAGGUGUAACUCAUAACAACAGGCAAAAAUUUUCUGAGGGAAGUUUGCCUUGUGACAGUCCCCUCCGCUUGCUCUAGUAAUAGUCAUUUCCACAUAAUGUGGAAAGGAAAACUGAGUCUUUGUCUGAAAUAUGUGGUAACAUUUGAGCCAGGCUGGAGUUGUGAAUACUCCAGGAUGUGAUCUUCAUUCUGAAGUGGAGAGAGUGAAAUGAAGAUGAGGAUGCUGCAUAUGAAGCAAAAACACUUGGAUCAGUGAAAACAGUUGUCUACCAGAGUGAGAUAAUCCUGCAGCAUAUGAAGGUAUAUGAAUUCCUCAUCACAUAGCACUGACAUCUAUUAAAUGGGGGGAGGAGAUCAUCCAGAUACUUACAUAUCUUUCCCAGUCAAUCUCUGCAUAAAAUCCAUUUGGAGCUCCAUUACUUUUCUUCUGUAAUACAUUUGAGAAUAAUUUUACAAUUUUUAAAUUCAAGAGCUAAGAAUCACACACAGUCUAUCUGGAGCAAACUACUGAAAUCGGUCACAGAAUGGCCAGACUAGCAACCCUCUAAAGAAACUGGUCAGUACAGUUAGCUGAUUGUGAUGUCCCUAUAUAACAAACAGCUAUUUCAUACAAACGAUGAAAUUUUUAAAAUAAUGUAAAAGGCUGAUUUUUUGUAACGAAUAGGGCAAUUCAAAAUCCACAGCCCAGCAAAUAAAUGAUGGUUUGCAUUUCUGUAGAAUCUUCCACAUGUCUGUUUCAGUGCACUUUAUAAACAACCGUUAAUUGAAAUCCACAACACUCCUGUGAGGAAGGGAAGCAAAAUUAUUAAUUCAUUGUGCUGUGCUGAGACACUUCAGCACGUUUAUAGUGCUAUAGGUUCAUGACCAGCAAGUAUUGGACAGAUAUCCACAACAUCUUCACUUAUUGAGUAUACAUAGCUUUCUUCAGAUUGCAACAGUGGUAGUUGUGGGGUUACAUAUACAUGUGUACAUGUAGAAAGCCUUGUCAAAAGUAAUGUUUCAUUUAUAUAAUGAGCCUCCUUGCUUAGUCAUCAUCCACUGCUUUAGUCUUUUCUGGAAAAAAAUCAUGAUAUGCCAACAGGUAUUAUUGGUUUCUGCAGAAACUAAUGUUGCUUUCUUAUAGGCAGUAAACUGUAUUCAUUGCAAAAAUGGUGCUAAAUGGUGCAGCAAAAGUGACUAAUUUUCCACCUGAGGUGUGUGCUGGAGGUCUAAAGAGGCUCAGAUUGAUCUAGGGUCAAACUCUGCUAUUAUUUACCACACACACACACCCCACAAACCCCACCCAGGGCAAAAAUGGUUCCCUUGUCAAUAUCUGUUAAUUAGCAAAAACAAAAACUGAUAGCUGGGCUGAGUUCUGGCCUUCGCUUGAGAACUUGUACUCUCAAUGUAAAUUUUAAUUGCAAAGUUAUAAAACAUUUACCCAAAGGAGUUUAUAAAAGAAACCCUAAUGCACCUUUCCUCAGAGUGGCGCAGAUGAAGACCACUAUAAUGUUCAGACAGGAAUUGCGCUGCAUUUCUGAUGUCACUAUGGUUAGGUUCAUCUUAAAGCA